RNAcentral lists this ribosomal RNA (490 nucleotides) under uncultured bacterium. RNAcentral describes it as "bacterial SSU rRNA". It matches the Rfam family "Bacterial small subunit ribosomal RNA", at positions 316 to 803 of the family's 1533-position model. The record is from RNAcentral.
GUACUGAGACACGGACCAAACUCCUACGGGAGGCAGCAGUGAGGAAUAUUGGUCAAUGGGCGUAAGCCUGAACCAGCCAAGUCGCGUGAGGGAUGAAGGUUCUAUGGAUCGUAAACCUCUUUUAUAAGGGAAUAAAGUGCGGGACGUGUCCCGUUUUGUAUGUACCUUAUGAAUAAGGAUCGGCUAACUCCGUGCCAGCAGCCGCGGUAAUACGGAGGAUCCGAGCGUUAUCCGGAUUUAUUGGGUUUAAAGGGUGCGUAGGCGGCCUUUUAAGUCAGCGGUGAAAGUCUGUGGCUCAACCAUAGAAUUGCCGUUGAAACUGGGAGGCUUGAGUAUGUUUGAGGCAGGCGGAAUGCGUGGUGUAGCGGUGAAAUGCUUAGAUAUCACGCAGAACCCCGAUUGCGAAGGCAGCCUGCCAAGCCAUGACUGACGCUGAUGCACGAAAGCGUGGGGAUCAAACAGGAUUAGAUACCCUGGUAGUCCACGCAGU